UACGUAGGUGGCAAGCGUUGUCCGGAUUUACUGGGCGUCAAGAGCGCGCAGGCGGUCGUUCAAGUCGCGUGUGAAAGCCCCCGGCUCAACUGGGGAGGGUCACGCGAUACUGAUCGACUCGAAGGCAGGAGAGGGUAGUGGAAUUCCCGGUGUAGUGGUGAAAUGCGUAGAUAUCGGGAGGAACACCAGUGGCGAAGGCGACUACCUGGCCUGUUUCUUGACGCUGAGGCGCGAAAGCUAGGGGAGCAAACAGG
This 254-nucleotide ribosomal RNA is filed under the name uncultured bacterium. Its description in RNAcentral is "partial 16S ribosomal RNA". It matches the Rfam family "Bacterial small subunit ribosomal RNA", at positions 524 to 776 of the family's 1533-position model. The record is from RNAcentral.